Molecule: transfer RNA, 74 nt
Filed under: Solirubrobacterales bacterium
Lineage: Bacteria; Bacillati; Actinomycetota; Thermoleophilia; Solirubrobacterales
Rfam family: tRNA
About the family: Transfer RNA (tRNA) molecules are approximately 80 nucleotides in length. Their secondary structure includes four short double-helical elements and three loops (D, anti-codon, and T loops).
Source: Rfam by way of RNAcentral
GGGCCGGUAGCUCAGCUGGUCAGAGCAGCGGACUCAUAAUCCGUUCGACGUUGGUUCGAAUCCAACCCGGCCCA